This 497-nucleotide ribosomal RNA is filed under the name uncultured bacterium. RNAcentral describes it as "partial 16S ribosomal RNA". It matches the Rfam family "Bacterial small subunit ribosomal RNA", at positions 28 to 507 of the family's 1533-position model. The record is from RNAcentral.
GAUGAACGCUGGCGGCGUGCCUAAUACAUGCAAGUCGAGCGAACAGACGAGGAUUUUGCUCCUCUGACGUUAGCGGCGGACGGGUGAGUAACGGGUGGAUUACCUACCUCUUAGACUGGGAUAACUUCGGGAAACCGGAGUUCAUACUGGAUAAUAUAUUUAACGGCAUGGUUCAAUAGUUAAAUACGUUUUUGCUGUCACUUAUAGCUGGCUCGGCGCCGCAUUAGUUAGUCGGUAAGGUAAAGGCUUACCAAGGCAACGAUGCGUAGCCGGCCUGAGAGGGGGAGCCGCCAUGCGGGAACGUAGACACGCAUCAGAACCCGAAGGCAGGCAGCAGUAGGGAAUGUGGCAGCAUGGGCGAAAGCCGGACGGAGCAACGACGCGUGAUGGAGGAAGGUCUCGUGAGCGUAAAACUCUGUUAGGUGGGAAGAACAAUUGUGUAAGUAACAAGCCACGUCGUGACGGUACCUAAACAGGAAGCCCCGGCUAACUACGUG